UUGAGAACUGGCACGGACUCGGGGAAUCCGACUGUUUAAUUAAAACAUAGCAAUGUGCAAUUCAUUACAAAUGUUGCAUAAAUUAUACAUAUAUACUUGUAUUAUUUAUAACAUUUAUUUUCAUUUUAUAGUCUAUAUUUUUUAGAUUUGUACACAUUGUGUAUUCUGCCCAGUGCUCUGCAAGUUAUUUUGAGUAAUUGCAAUUUUUAAGCGCGGGUUAACGGCGGGAGUAACUAUGACUCUCUUAAGGUAGCCAAAUGCCUCGUCAUUUAAUUGGUGACGCGCAUGAAUGGAUCAACGAGACUCCCACUGUCCCUAUUCACUUUUUAGCGAAAUUACAGCCAAGCCAACGGUCUUGGAUUAAUGUACUUAUGUUUAUUAAAGUAUAAUACAUUUUGUAUAGGCAACAGCGGGGCAAGAAGACCCUUUUGAGCUUGACUCUAAUCUGUUAUUGUCAUCUGGUCGGCAUGGUGAAGAUUGUAAGAGGCAGUAUAUAUAAUUUAUUUAUAUACGAUCAUGAAACACCGCUACUUAUUGAUUUGGCUGACUUAUUGUAUUAACAUAAAAUACAUAUUAUUUCUUUAUACAUAGAAUAUAAAUAAUUAGACAAUUAUAAUUAUUAUGUGUUAAAAUCCUUAUUGUACAAAACACUAACAGACUGGGAGUUUGGCUGGGGUGGCACAUCUGUUAUAAUGUAACACAGAUGUCCAAAGUGCAGUUCCGUGAGAAUAGAAACCUCUCUUAGAAUAUAAGGGUAAAAACUGCAUUUAUUUAUGUACUUUCAGUAACAGUACACAAUGAAAUAUAAAUACAUUAUUAUCAAAUAAUAAUGUUAUUUCUGAAAGGACGGCCUAGCGAUCCUUUAAUAUACGUAUGAAUAUUUACAUUAAUUAUAAUUAAGACAAUUAUAAUUGAUAAAUAAAAUUAUAAAUGCGAUUAGAGGUGUCAGAAAAGUUACCACAGGGAUAACUGGCUUGUGGCUGCGGAGCGUCCAAAGCGAUGCAGCUUUUUGAUUCUUCGAUGUCGGCUCUUCCUAUCCUAUACUCGCAUAUGGGUAUAAGGGUAAGUUUGUUCACCUAUCAAAAGGGAACGUGAGCUGGGUUUAGACCGUCGCGAGACAGGUUAGUUUUAUCCUACUGUUGUCAUAAUAAUAUAUACUAAAAUAUUAAAAUUAUAUAUAUUUAUUAUCUUGGCAGUAAUUAUAGGUUUAGUACGAGAGGAACAGCUUAUACAUGAUUUGUGUAUAUUAAGUGCUAUGACAAUAGAAAGAAUUUAGAUUCUAACGCGUGUCAAAAUAUAGUAUAUCUGAAACCCUCUAAGAUAGAAAUUGGUCUUGUUAUAUGAUAAAAUAUUAAAUAAAUAAUUAAACAAAUAUAUUAUAUAUUAUUAUAUUUAUUAUAUAGUAUUUAUACUAUCUCGUAUUAUUAAAAUAAUUAUAUAAUAUUUCCAAAAAUUAAAAAAAUAAAUAUUAUUAUAAAUACAGAGCAAACAACUCGUUUAUUAA
RNAcentral lists this ribosomal RNA (1504 nucleotides) under Foraminifera environmental sample. RNAcentral describes it as "partial Eukaryotic large subunit ribosomal RNA". It matches the Rfam family "Eukaryotic large subunit ribosomal RNA", at positions 2107 to 3326 of the family's 3401-position model. Lineage: Eukaryota; Foraminifera. The record is from RNAcentral.